Molecule: unclassified non-coding RNA, 429 nt
Filed under: soil metagenome
Description: partial contains 5.8S ribosomal RNA, internal transcribed spacer 2, and large subunit ribosomal RNA
Rfam family: 5.8S ribosomal RNA (bases 1-120)
Source: RNAcentral
GAUGAAGAACGUAGCGAAAUGCGAUACGUAAUGUGAAUUGCAGAAUUCAGUGAAUCAUCGAAUCUUUGAACGCAUAUUGCGCUCUCUGGUAUUCCGGAGAGCAUGCUUGUUUGAGUAUCAGUAAACACCUCAACUCCCUUUUCUUUUUUGAAAUUGGAGCUGGACUUGAGUGAUCCCAACGCUUUCUUCCAAGAAAGUGGCGGGUUGCUUGAAAUGCAGGUGCAGCUGAACUUUUCUCUGAGCUAUACGCAUAUCUAUUUAGUCUGCCUAAAAAACAGAUUAUUACCUUUGCUGCAGCUAACAUAAAGGAGACUAGUUCUUGUGCUGACUGAUGCAGGAUUCACAGAGACAGCUUCGGCUGACUUUGUAAACUCGAUCUCAAAUCAAGUAAGACUACCCGCUGAACUUAAGCAUAUCAAUAGCGGAGGA